UACGGAGGGUGCAAGCGUUAAUCGGAAUUACUGGGCGUAAAGCGCGCGUAGGCGGCAAGUUAAGUUGGGUGUGAAAGCCCCGGGCUCAACCUGGGAACUGCAUUCAAAACUGGCUAGCUAGAGUACAGCAGAGGAUAGUGGAAUUUCCGGUGUAGCGGUGAAAUGCGUAGAGAUCGGAAGGAACACCAGUGGCGAAGGCGACUGUCUGGGCUGAUACUGACGCUGAGGUGCGAAAGCGUGGGGAGCAAACAGG
This 253-nucleotide unclassified non-coding RNA is filed under the name uncultured Saccharospirillaceae bacterium. RNAcentral's name for it is "contains 16S-23S intergenic spacer region". It matches the Rfam family "Bacterial small subunit ribosomal RNA", at positions 524 to 776 of the family's 1533-position model. The record is from RNAcentral. Lineage: Bacteria; Pseudomonadati; Pseudomonadota; Gammaproteobacteria; Oceanospirillales; Saccharospirillaceae.